UUCCAGAUGCUGUGAUAUUCAAACCCAAGCAUGGGGUAUCUGAAGCAUUCCCAAAUUCUUUUUCUAUGCCUGCUUAUAACUUUCCUCACUUUCUUGGCUGCUCAGCGCUGUCCUUUGUCCGCCAGAACAGAACAAAUUGUAAAGAAAUGUCCAGAAAAUGAAGAAGCUACAAAUACUAGUGCAGAGAUAAAAAAAAUGUGAAAGGCUUGCAGAACAGCAGACUUGUACAAGUCCAUCAAAGUUCAAGUAUCAUUGCCUUCCUACUGAUCUGUCAGGAACACUAGUUGAAGUAUGUGCCGUUGAAAUAUACAUCCAUGGUGUAUGUGUGCUGUAUAACGACACAGAACUUCAAACAUAUGAUAACAUUAAUUGUAGUCAGGCUUCUACGUGUCCCGACAGAUUUUUGUCCUCAGAAGCA
Molecule: long non-coding RNA, 418 nt
Organism: Saccostrea echinata
Lineage: Eukaryota; Metazoa; Mollusca; Bivalvia; Ostreida; Ostreidae
Exons: 3
Source: RefSeq, a predicted model, not a curated record